GAUCAUGGCUCAGGAUGAACGCUAGCUACAGGCUUAACACAUGCAAGUCGAGGGGAAACGACAUUGAAAGCUUGCUUUUGAUGGGCGUCGACCGGCGCACGGGUGAGUAACGCGUAUCCAACCUGCCCACCACUUGGGGAUAACCUUGCGAAAGUAAGACUAAUACCCAAUGACGUCUCUAGAAGACAUCUGAAAGAGAUUAAAGAUUUAUCGGUGAUGGAUGGGGAUGCGUCUGAUUAGCUUGUUGGCGGGGUAACGGCCCACCAAGGCGACGAUCAGUAGGGGUUCUGAGAGGAAGGUCCCCCACAUUGGAACUGAGACACGGUCCAAACUCCUACGGGAGGCAGCAGUGAGGAAUAUUGGUCAAUGGGCGAGAGCCUGAACCAGCCAAGUAGCGUGCAGGAUGACGGCCCUAUGGGUUGUAAACUGCUUUUAUAAGGGAAUAAAGUGAGCCUCGUGAGGCUUUUUGCAUGUACCUUACGAAUAAGGACCGGCUAAUUCCGUG
Molecule: ribosomal RNA, 505 nt
Filed under: uncultured bacterium
Lineage: Bacteria
Description: bacterial SSU rRNA
Rfam family: Bacterial small subunit ribosomal RNA
Source: RNAcentral